RNAcentral lists this ribosomal RNA (245 nucleotides) under uncultured bacterium. RNAcentral describes it as "partial 16S ribosomal RNA". It matches the Rfam family "Bacterial small subunit ribosomal RNA", at positions 28 to 260 of the family's 1533-position model. The record is from RNAcentral.
GACGAACGCUGGCGGCGUGCUUAACACAUGCAAGUCGAGCGGUAAGGCCCUUCGGGUACGACGAGCGGCGAACGGGUGAGUAACACGUGGGUGACCUGCCCCCUACUCUGGGAUAAGCCUGGGAAACGUGGGUCGUAAUACCGGAUAUGACUACAUGUCGCAUGGUGUGUGGUGGAAAGCCAGUUACAUUGUUUCUGGCGGGUGGGGGAGUGGGCCCGCGGCCUAUCAGCUUGUUGGUGGGGUGA